RNAcentral lists this long non-coding RNA (1367 nucleotides) under Homo sapiens (human). Its description in RNAcentral is "long non-coding RNA NONHSAT160571.1". The record is from RNAcentral. Lineage: Eukaryota; Metazoa; Chordata; Mammalia; Primates; Hominidae.
GAAGAUCGUAACUACAGAUUUUAGGAAAAGCGGUCCACAUUGUUCAGAGAGCAUCCACAGGUCCUGGGAUGCCAUUAAUCGACUCUCAAAUACUGUGGUUUGCAGUGGCUUACUGGAGCCCUUCACUUAUGCAGCCCAUUAACUUCUCAGGACAUCCAACAUUUGAAAGACUGGAUCUCUGAAACCUGGGUGAAUCUGGCAAUGGUGGACUAUCCUUAUGCCUCUAACUUUUUACAGCCUUUGCCUGCUUGGCCUAUCAAGGUAGUGUGCCAGUAUUUGAAAAAUCCCAAUGUAUCUGAUUCACUGCUGCUGCAGAAUAUUUUCCAAGCUCUGAAUGUAUAUUACAAUUAUUCGGGCCAGGUGAAAUGCCUGAAUAUUUCAGAGACAGCAACUAGCAGUCUGGGAACACUGGGUUGGAGCUAUCAGGCCUGCACAGAAGUAGUCAUGCCCUUUUGUACUAAUGGUGUCGAUGACAUGUUUGAACCUCACUCAUGGAACUUAAAGGAACUUUCUGAUGACUGUUUUCAACAGUGGGGUGUGAGACCAAGGCCCUCCUGGAUCACUACUAUGUAUGGAGGCAAAAACAUUAGUUCACACACAAACAUUGUUUUCAGCAAUGGUGAACUAGACCCCUGGUCAGGAGGUGGAGUAACUAAGGAUAUCACAGACACUCUGGUUGCAGUCACCAUCUCAGAGGGGGCCCACCACUUAGAUCUCCGCACCAAGAAUGCCUUGGAUCCUAUGUCUGUGCUGUUAGCCCGCUCCUUGGAAGUUAGACAUAUGAAGAAUUGGAUCAGAGAUUUCUAUGACAGUGCGGGAAAGCAGCACUGAGAAACUUUUGAUUGUUUUCAAUUUCUUCUUUUAUGUUCACACCACCACAUUCCCAUUCACUUUGAUUUUCUACAUGUAAUUACCUUCUUUUGUUUAUCAUUAGAUUUGAUGGGGCCAAAGUUGAGAUAGAAUAGAGGGUGAUGACGGUAAGAGCAAGUGUCCCAUGAAUGUGAUUUCCUGGGUUCUCACUGUCUUUGCACCACGUCUAGGAAGAAUCUUCUUGAUAGCUCUCCCACACCAUCAGUGGCCCUCAUAACUGGAGUAGAGUUCCUGGUUGCUUUUCAUAAGAGGGAGAGUUACUUUCUUUGUAUCUCUGCAAGCAGAGAUUUCUCUUUGGUUUUGAGGUUGAAGUGUCUUUGGCCCAUUUGUAAGUCCCCAUCCCUACCCUACACAAAGUAAAAGCAGAAGAUAGAUAAAAAAUGAUGUAAUUGCAGCUGGUAGGAUGUCUGGUGCCAAUCCAGGAAGUGAGAGCCAUUUCUUUUGUACCGGAUUUAAUGACUUUGAACUGUGCUGUAAAUAAAUAAUACAGCUGGACC